This is a long non-coding RNA of Pogoniulus pusillus (Red-fronted tinkerbird), 782 nucleotides long. RefSeq lists it as uncharacterized. Lineage: Eukaryota; Metazoa; Chordata; Aves; Piciformes; Lybiidae. The transcript is spliced from 4 exons. The record is from RefSeq and is a predicted model, not a curated record.
UCAGAGUAUCUGUUUUGCAGGACAUUCAAGGAUCUUGGUUUUCAAAGAAUGCCUCCCACACAGCCUCUAAAAAUCAGUUCAUUCUGAAGCAUCCAUCUGGCAUCCAGAAGCUGAGAAUGCUAUUUCAGAAAUCAUGCCUGGAAAUGCCAAAUCACUAAAGUUGCAAAAGAGAGCAGUUGAAAACACCAAGCAGGACUCAAGCACGACUACAGAAGAGGAGAGAGCUGUUUGCUCAAGAGUGAAUUACUACAACACACUGUAUUUGGGAAUAUAAACCUUGAAGACAACAGAAGCCAUUCAUUUGUCUUUCAAUGAUUUGAAGGUGUUCUGGCAAUUGCAACCCUGACCAGUGGACUGGAGUCCUCACAUCUGGUGUGUGCUGCCACCAGACCCCCACAAAUGCACGAGAAUACACAGGAAGAUUUCCUGGGGACCUGCACCUGGACACCGAGCUAAAAAGCUGCAUAAAGGGCAGGAGGAAUGCCUGCCAAAGUGUGCACUUCUACCACUCUACCAAGGGUGAACCUCCACCAGACUACCAGAGCUGCACCACCACCAGAAGAACCCCUGAUGAACUCCACAGAAGAUCAGCCCUGGGCCAUGCACCCAUCUCUCUCUCUCCCCCAUCUGUGACUGAGGGUAAUAUGAGGCUCUUUUCCUUUCCCGUUUCUUCUCUUCUUCUCCAUUGUUCUCUUUCUCUCCCCCUUCUCUCUCUCCCUUUGUUUUGUCCAACUUAAUCAUUUAAUAAAUAGAGGUGAUAUAUGACCUCAUUUGCACCUUAA